GACGAGGAGCCAAAUGCCUGAACUUGAGCCGAUACAUGAACUGUACUUAAAGGAGCCACGUAGUGUUCACAUUCUCAGUAGUAUAGUAGUUACUAUUUCCAGUUUUGCGCCUUUAGUCAAGUUUAAUGUUAAAAUUGUUAAUGUUGUUAAGUAAUUUGAAAGGUCAAAUUAGGGGAGCCAUGUAACUGCUGGUGAGUUAUUCCAAGCUUGCCACAUGGUGGCGCUCUCCACAACUCAUGAGGGCGCUCUUCAUUGCUACCACAGAUUCAUGGUCCUUAUUGAUGACACAUGUCUGUGUCCUAAAUUUUUUGACUCGUACUUUGACUCAGUAUAAUUCGAUCAUCCUUCCACCCCAGGACCCGAGGACAGAGUUUUUACGUGAACUCUGCAAUCGCCACAGUCAUUUUUGGUAAUAAAUAAGCCAGGAAUAUACA
Molecule: long non-coding RNA, 434 nt
Organism: Patiria miniata (bat star)
Lineage: Eukaryota; Metazoa; Echinodermata; Asteroidea; Valvatida; Asterinidae
Exons: 2
Source: RefSeq, a predicted model, not a curated record